GACGUAGGUGGCGAACGCUAUCCGGAAUUAUUGGGCGUAAAGGGUGCGUAGGUGGCCUGACAAGUUAUCAGUGGCAAAUCGAGGCUCGACCUCGUGGAAACUGGUAAUACUGUCCGGCUUGAGUACAGGAGAGGUUAACGGAACUCUAUGUGGAGCGGUAAAAUGCACAGAUAUAUAGAAGAACAUCAAUAAAGGCGAAGGCAGUUAACUAUUCUGUUACUGACGCUGAGGCACGAAAGCGUGGGGAGCAAAACGG
This 256-nucleotide ribosomal RNA is filed under the name uncultured bacterium. Its description in RNAcentral is "partial 16S ribosomal RNA". It matches the Rfam family "Bacterial small subunit ribosomal RNA", at positions 524 to 776 of the family's 1533-position model. The record is from RNAcentral.